GUCAGGCAUGGUGGUGCGUGCCUGUAGUCCCAGCUACUUGGGGGGCUGAGGCAGGAGGAUCGCUUGAGCCCAGGAGGUUGAGGCUGCAGUGAGCCAGGUUUGCAUUACUGCACUCUAGCCUGGGUAACAAAGCAAGACCCUGUCUCAA
Molecule: unclassified non-coding RNA, 148 nt
Organism: Pongo abelii (Sumatran orangutan)
Lineage: Eukaryota; Metazoa; Chordata; Mammalia; Primates; Hominidae
Rfam family: Metazoan signal recognition particle RNA
About the family: The signal recognition particle (SRP) is a universally conserved ribonucleoprotein. It is involved in the co-translational targeting of proteins to membranes.
Source: Ensembl